RNAcentral lists this ribosomal RNA (497 nucleotides) under uncultured bacterium. RNAcentral's name for it is "partial 16S ribosomal RNA". It matches the Rfam family "Bacterial small subunit ribosomal RNA", at positions 28 to 507 of the family's 1533-position model. The record is from RNAcentral.
GAUGAACGCUGGCGGCGUGCCUAAUACAUGCAAGUCGAGCGAACAGACGAGGAGCUUGCUCCUCUGACGUUAGCGGCGGACGGGUGAGUAACACGUGGAUAACCUUCCUAUAAGACUGGGAUAACUUCGGGAAACCGGAGCUAAUACCGGAUAAUAUAUUGAACCGCAUGGUUCAAUAGUGAAAGACGGUUUUGCUGUCACUUAUAGAUGGAUCCGCGCCGCAUUAGCUAGUUGGUAAGGUAACGGCUUACCAAAGCAACGAUGCGUAGCCGACCUGAGAGGGUGAUCGGCCACACUGGAACUGAGACACGGUCCAGACUCCUACGGGAGGCAGCAGUAGGGAAUCUUCCGCAAUGGGCGAAAGCCUGACGGAGCAACGCCGCGUGAGUGAUGAAGGUCUUCGGAUCGUAAAACUCUGUUAUUAGGGAAGAACAAAUGUGUAAGUAACUAUGCACGUCUUGACGGUACCUAAUCAGAAAGCCACGGCUAACUACGUG